CACAAGCGGUGGAGUAUGUUGGUUUAAUUCGAUGCAACGCGAAGACUUACCUGGUCUUGACAUCCCGGAGACCCUUAGGAAACUAGGGGGUGCUUCCAUCUGGAAGAAUCUGGAGACAGGUGCUGCAUGGCUGUCGUCAGCUCGUGUCGUGAGAUGUUGGGUUAAGUCCCGCAACGAGCGCAACCCUUGCCUUUAGUUGCCAGCAGUUCGGCUGGGCACUCUAAAGGGACUGCCGGUGUUAAACCGGAGGAAGGUGGGGAUGACGUCAAGUCCUCAUGGCCUUUAUGACCAGGGCUACACACGUACUACAAUGGCCGAUACAAAGGGCAGCGACACUGCGAGGUGAAGCCAAUCCCGUAAAAUCGGUCUCAGUCCGGAUUGGAGUCUGCAACUCGACUCCAUGAAGUUGGAAUCGCUAGUAAUCGUGGAUCAGCAUGCCACGGUGAAUACGUUCCCGGGCCUU
This 463-nucleotide ribosomal RNA is filed under the name uncultured Desulfobulbus sp. RNAcentral describes it as "bacterial SSU rRNA". It matches the Rfam family "Bacterial small subunit ribosomal RNA", at positions 924 to 1382 of the family's 1533-position model. The record is from RNAcentral. Lineage: Bacteria; Pseudomonadati; Thermodesulfobacteriota; Desulfobulbia; Desulfobulbales; Desulfobulbaceae.